This 465-nucleotide ribosomal RNA is filed under the name uncultured bacterium. Its description in RNAcentral is "partial 16S ribosomal RNA". It matches the Rfam family "Bacterial small subunit ribosomal RNA", at positions 338 to 795 of the family's 1533-position model. The record is from RNAcentral.
CCUACGGGAGGCAGCAGUGGGGAAUAUUGCGCAAUGGGCGAAAGCCUGACGCAGCGACGCCGCGUGAGGGAUGAAGGUCUUAGGAUCGUAAACCUCUGUCAGCAGGGAAGAAAGGUCACGGAGCUAAUCAGCAGUGAAUUGACGGUACCUGCAAAGGAAGCACAGGCUAACUCCGUCCCAGCAGCCGCGGUAAUACGGAGGGUCCGAGCGUUGAUCGGAUGUACUGGGAGUAAAGCGAUCGUAGACGGUAUGUCAAGUCAAGUGUGAAAGUCCGGCGCUCAACGUGGGAACUGCGUUUGAAACUGGCAGACUGGAGUGUGUGUGAGGAUAGUGGAAUUCCAGGUGUAGGAGUGAAAUCCGUAGAUAUCUGGAGGAACAUCAGUGGCGAAGGCGACUAUCUGGCACAUAACUGACGCUGAGGAGCGAAAGCGUGGGUAGCAAACAGGAUUAGAUACCCCUGUAGUC